This 1246-nucleotide long non-coding RNA is filed under the name Linum usitatissimum (flax). RNAcentral describes it as "long non-coding RNA (LUSI_LNC006519)". The record is from RNAcentral. Lineage: Eukaryota; Viridiplantae; Streptophyta; Magnoliopsida; Malpighiales; Linaceae.
CCGGAGUUGCUGAGCUGCGACUGAGGAUUGCUUGGUUGUGUGGCCGGAAUGCCGGUGUUCCAUGGUUCUUGAUCAAGUGACAUCUUUCUGGUAUGGUGGGAAAGUUUGUAUGCAGAGGUAUAGUUAUAUAGUUUAAUGAUCAAUUACAUAAGCUUGCUUGCUUUUAAGGUUGGAUUAAAUGUGCGAUGAUAUGCAUAGUUUAAGACACCGGGCGGCAGUGGACGGUGAUACCUAGUCGCACUUUUGUAUUAGACAAAGGUGUGAUAAAUUGAUGUGGUAUAUGCUGGAAUGGUGAUGCCUGAACUGUGGGAAUAUUAUGGGAUGUUGAUUGUUUUUAUUUUCUUUUUUCAUUAGGGUGUUGCCGUCCAAGCCAAAUGAAUGGAUGAAUGCAAUGUGAAUUAGCUAGGUUGGUUUUUGUUUAUGGAGGGAUUACUGGAUCCUGAUCAGGCUGCAGAAUCACUAACCUGAUCCCUUUGGAAUUUAUGAACAGAACAAACGCAGACAAGGACUCUCUGUCUCUACCUAAAGGGAGGGUGUUCAACUUUGGUUUGUUUUUUGUGUAAGUUCGUAUCUUUCCCAUACGCCAUUAGCCGUCUAACUCUGAAGAAGCCCACAAUGCAAAAUCCAAGGGGAUCAAACGAAGGAUGAUUGCGAAGUUGUUGGGUGUUCGCUGUUCGGAUAGAGAAAUCACGCGUUCUGAACCGUUUUGAUUUCUCUUUUCUCUCUCUUUUCCGACAACCUUUCACUGUCUUUUCUUGCUGGUUCAGACGGUCGCCAAUGGCAGUUUGCAGCUCCGGUGCGGAGGGCGCUCUUCACUGCCGCCUCUUGAUCUUCUCUUCUUUUCUUUUAUUUCCUUUACCUUUCCUUUCUCGUUUUCUUCGUGUUUUGUGGAAUCGGUGGUGGUGAAUGGGGUUCUUCAGAUCCGAGAAGAGGUGGAGAAUGUAGUAAUUUCUCGUUGCCAGAGUGUUCUGGUUGGCCAAUGCUUUGGGAAGCAGCCGGCGUUGACAGUCAUUAGGGAUUGGGCUACGAAGAUGUGGAGCCGCCCACCAUGAAUGUGUACACGGUGACAUUGAAAUCACUUUUCUUUACUCAAUAAGCUUGAUUUGUUAUGGUUGCUGUUGCUUUUCUGGAAUUACAGCACUAGAGACAGCAAGAUAAUAUCUUUGCUUCUACACACUUAACAAACUCAUAAAGGCAGCAUAUGAUUCAUGAACAUCAAAUAUACUUACCAUUUUCAGACUUUCAA